CAUGAGUUUUCCCAUACGUUUCCGUAUCCAAUUUUGAUUGUCCGUCUUAUUUGAUUUUUUUAUUAGUAUUUUUAUUGCUAUUAGAUGAUAAAAUGUGAACAGUACUUUAGGCAUGACUUAUAUUUUUAUUUUUUUUCAAAAAAAAAUUAAAUAUGACGGACGCUUAAAGUUAGACAUAGAAACUCAUGGCUGCGCUUAAA
Molecule: microRNA precursor, 200 nt
Organism: Oryza sativa Japonica Group (Japanese rice)
Lineage: Eukaryota; Viridiplantae; Streptophyta; Magnoliopsida; Poales; Poaceae
Rfam family: MIR812 microRNA precursor family
Source: Rfam